Molecule: long non-coding RNA, 1369 nt
Filed under: Equus caballus (horse)
Lineage: Eukaryota; Metazoa; Chordata; Mammalia; Perissodactyla; Equidae
Description: lncRNA (ENSECAG00000050687.1)
Source: RNAcentral
AUUCCUGCCCGUUAGCUUACUGAGGGAAGCCUGGGAGGCCUGCGAAGAAGGGCCCGUGGGCGGGCCUGAUAGCUGCCUCAUUCAGUGAGAGACUCACAAAUGGGCCAAUGUCAAAGGGGGAGCAGUGUGCCCUGUAGAGGCAUCAGGAAUCAGAGGGGAUACUCAAAACUUAGGGAGCCCUCUCCCCUCCAGGAGCACUUUCUUCUGGUCAAGAAAGAGGACGGGACUGGCACCAACCUGCACCAUCAAUCCUGCUUCCUGCUCAGCCCUCAUCUGAGGAGCUGCAUAGGACCUCAGGGUGAUAGGACCUCAGGGUUCGGGGAUGGGGGGCGUGAAAACUCAUCUUGCCCAACCUUCUCUAAGAGAGCCUCUGAAUUCUAGUGACAGAGAGCCUGUCAUUUAAAAGACAACCUAGGGCCAGCUCUGGUGGCCAGUGUUUAAGUUUGGCACACUCCGCUUUGGCGGCCCGGGUUCAGUUUCCAGGUGGUGACCUACACCAUUCUUCUGUUAGUGGCCAUGAUGUGGUGGCAGCUCACAUACAAAAAAAAAAGAGGAAGAUCGGCAGCAGAUGUUAGCUCAGGGCUAAUCUUCCUCAAGAAAAAAAAAAUUCAACUGCAUGUAAUUGCCUCCUUGAAACUUGACAUUCCUAUUCCCAGGUCCUCCUGAGCCAGGGAGCCACAGAGAUCAAGUCCAAUCCAGUGUACACUGAGCAGCCCUUGGGCUAUUUGUUCAUUCUCCACACAGUACCUCUUCAGGCACAGAGCUCCACCAGCCCCCAGUCACAGUGUGCCCUCGUCUGCGAUGCCUUCGUCUUUGCUGGGCUAUCAACUUGGAACAUCCUCUCUCACCCCUUCUCCACUGAACCAGCUUGUGUACUCACUCGAGAUUCAGCUCUGGUGCCUCCUUUCUAGAAACCUCCUUGAUAGUGUUUGGGGGCCUUUUCCUUCUCCCUUCCACGGUGCCUUGGGCAGGUCUCAGCCCAUUUUUCAUUAAGCAAUGCGAGCCCCCAGCAGGCAGGUGUUCAGCAAACACUUGCUGACUAACUGCAGGAAAGACAGACGGAAAGUGAGGCCAAGCGCUCAAACCUGAAGCCAACAGGAGCACAAUACUGGGUAAAUGUCUGGUGAGUACUAAUGGUUUCCUGUAUAUAAGGCUUUGUGUGUGACAGAGAGAAAAAAAGAGAGAGCCUGGUGAGUAGGGACCCCGUCCCCUAUUUUGCUGAGCCCAGCACUGGCACAUGGCGGGUGGGGGGCAAAGGCUGCCCAGUCAUCAGAUAAUCAGAAGGGUCAGAGCACUGCUUCUCCAAGGAGGAAAGCAGGUUGAGGCCCCAGAGAAUCCCAGAGGGGCCCCACUCUACCACUGGACUGCC